AGUGAACGCUGGCGGUAGGCCUAACACAUGCAAGUCGAACGGCAGCACAGUAAUAGCUUGCUCUUACGGGUGGCGAGUGGCGGACGGUUGCUGAAUACAUCGGAAUCUACUUUUUCGUGGGGGCUAACGUAGGGAAACUUACGCUAAUACCGCAUACGACCUACGGGUGAAAGCAGCGGAUCUUCGGACCUUGCGCGAUUGAAUGAGCCGAUGUCGGAUUAGUUAGUUGGCGGGGUAAAGGCCCACCAAGGCGACGAUCCGUAGCUGGUCUGAGAGGAUGAUCAGCCACACUGGAACUGAGACACGGUCCAGACUCCUACGGGAGGCAGCAGUGGGGAAUAUUGGACAAUGGGCGCAAGCCUGAUCCAGCCAUACCGCGUGGGUGAAGAAGGCCUUCGGGUUGUAAAGCCCUUUUGUUGGGAAAGAAAAGCAGCAGGUUAAUACCCCGCUGUUCUGACGGUACCAAAAGAAUAAGCACCGGCUAACUUCGUG
Molecule: ribosomal RNA, 492 nt
Filed under: uncultured bacterium
Lineage: Bacteria
Description: partial 16S ribosomal RNA
Rfam family: Bacterial small subunit ribosomal RNA
Source: RNAcentral